RNAcentral lists this ribosomal RNA (253 nucleotides) under uncultured bacterium. Its description in RNAcentral is "partial 16S ribosomal RNA". It matches the Rfam family "Bacterial small subunit ribosomal RNA", at positions 524 to 776 of the family's 1533-position model. The record is from RNAcentral.
UACGUAGGGGGCAAGCGUUAAUCGGAAUUACUGGGCGUAAAGCGUGCGCAGGCGGCUUUGCAAGACAGAUGUGAAAUCCCCGGGCUUAACCUGGGAACUGCAUUUGUGACUGCAUGGCUGGAGUGCGGUAGAGGGGGAUGGAAUUCCGCGUGUAGCAGUGAAAUGCGUAGAUAUGCGGAGGAACACCGAUGGCGAAGGCAAUCCCCUGGGCCUGCACUGACGCUCAUGCACGAAAGCGUGGGGAGCAAACAGG